This 385-nucleotide transfer-messenger RNA is filed under the name Candidatus Jorgensenbacteria bacterium RIFCSPLOWO2_01_FULL_45_25b. It matches the Rfam family "transfer-messenger RNA". Rfam says of the family: Bacterial tmRNA, also known as 10Sa RNA or SsrA, is named for its dual tRNA and mRNA-like properties. Its role is to liberate the mRNA from a stalled ribosome. To accomplish this part of the tmRNA is used as a reading frame that ends in a translation stop signal. The record is from RNAcentral. RNAcentral also lists the same sequence under 1 other name. Lineage: Bacteria; Candidatus Joergenseniibacteriota.
GGGAGUGCUGGGCUUUGACAGGACAACGUUUCGUACACUGCAGGUCGGGUCGUGAGCCCCCGUAAAAACCUCACAAACCAAUAACUGCAAACCAAAAAACUGCAGCGCCGGCAUUUGCCUUUGCGUAAACGCGGGCGUCUCUGGCCUUUCCACAAGAAAAGCCGGGCAUCGGUUCUUGAUGUCUCAUAAAGAAAAACCGGUGUUAUAUAAUGAGGCUCGUCUUCUAAGAAUGGCGCUUCAACAUUCUUGAAAGACUAAAACCCAUUUGAAGCAAGCUGGUUUUGAGCAAGUUCCAAGAGCAAUCAAGGAACGAAUCGAAAACAAACCCGUAGACUGUGUACGAAAAUUGCCCUGAACGCGAGUUCAACUCUCGCCACUUCCACCA